RNAcentral lists this small RNA (368 nucleotides) under Arabidopsis thaliana (thale cress). RNAcentral's name for it is "ATSL105470". Lineage: Eukaryota; Viridiplantae; Streptophyta; Magnoliopsida; Brassicales; Brassicaceae. The record is from RNAcentral.
UAUAUUAUUAACCUAUAAAUUAGAAGUUGAAGAGCUUACAUUAAUUAUUUAAUAGACACAUGACAAAUGUUAAAGCGAUGAUGUGACAAUCAUAUGGAGAGAGUUGACCAACUUUCAUAUAUAUGAUUUCAUUCUCUACCUAACCAUGACUAUUACCAAAAUCUAAUGUAUUUCUUACCUUUCUGAUUAUUGCCUUUGAUCCCCAAACUUUCAUCAUCUUUGGAUUCUUAGGGUUCUUCUCUCCUUAACUCUUCUCUUCUUUUUUUUCCCCAAAAAUGUCUACUCCAUUUAACUACACCAACACUUUUGAGAAGGAAAUAAGCUAACCAGAGUAAGGUUAGGACUUACUAGUGAGUAGACUAACUAAA